GUGUUACUCACACUAGACAAGUGUCAAAUCAGUAUGACAUUAUGUCGGAUUACGGCAUCUGCAGUAAUUAAGACUCUGUUUUUACUGUUUUUACAGGAACUGAUUUAUCUUAACAUGACAAUAAAGAAGAAUUUUGUAAGGUGAACAUAUUUGUAGUAUUGCAAAGUUACCACGUGCACUUUUCCUGUUCAUUGGUCACAUUUAAAUAGAUUAUUCUUUAUUGAACUAAAUUCGAUAUUUAAAUUGCAAGUAACUUUAAUAUCAAAACCACCGCUUUUUAUUUCUCGACUGAAAAGGGUAAUAAGACGGUUAUUUUUAUCUGACUGUAAACAUUGUAUAUAAUCACAACGAUCUAUUAAUAAUCGUUGCUCACAGAUAACGGAUUAUACAACGAUCUAUUAAUAACCGUCGCUCACGCAUCACUGGUUCUAUCACUGACUCAAUACACACCAGUUUAAUCGGACAAACGGAUAAUUCCCUGAGACAUGCGGAUAAUUCCCUGAGACACGGAAAAUCUCCGGAGAACCGCAAAAUAUUCUGUAAAACAGAAAAUUUACGAUGAACCUCUAUUUAUUAUCCGUUCCGCGGAGAUUUGCCAAAAAUCGCGGUCAUUUGCCAAAUAGGUCUACCAGUGAA
Molecule: long non-coding RNA, 636 nt
Filed under: Mytilus galloprovincialis (Mediterranean mussel)
Lineage: Eukaryota; Metazoa; Mollusca; Bivalvia; Mytilida; Mytilidae
Source: RNAcentral